Topomyia yanbarensis is the source of this 1385-nucleotide long non-coding RNA. RefSeq lists it as uncharacterized. Lineage: Eukaryota; Metazoa; Arthropoda; Insecta; Diptera; Culicidae. The transcript is spliced from 5 exons. The record is from RefSeq and is a predicted model, not a curated record.
ACUGGGUAUCGGCUCUAAACGGAAUCACGAGGAGCACAAAUUCGUAUCUGUUAGAAAUCAACUCUAUCCUCGUUUCACCACCUAAGCCAAGUAAUCGACGCAUCAGUCAUUUUACUAGACGCAGAUGUAGAUUGCAAAUCUGUCGAAUCGGUGGAUGCCUUUUCUACGCGGUAUGUUGGUACGGCCUGGGUGCAACAUCAUUGGUAGUCAGUGGGGGUUUAGUGGAUACGUAAGAAAACCCCCAUUUCACAAUCAAUUUGACUCUCGUGUCACAACUGAAACAAAGUUAUUCGACAAUCCGGUUAUUGGACUUGACACCGAAUGUAAGCCAUUCACUGGUCGACGACAGGAAGUCUCCAUUGCAUACUCGAACAAAUAACGUAAAACUGUAUGUAGUGAACUCGAUCCCCGUACCAUCAAACAGACCAAAGGUAUUUGACGAUCCAGUAGUUCGUUACUGUUAUCGUUGCAAAGAAGAGUGUACACAUGCAACGCAGGCGAGAGUCGUAUAACAUUUCAAACAGCACGAUGGUGGACGUUGUUGGUAUUAUGCAGCGGACCAAGUUCGACUUCCGUAUAUGUACCAGCAACCAUCUUCCAGUGAAACGAUAAGCACGGUCGGACGAGAUCCAUUGCCGGUUCGGAAGGUCACGCUUAAUCUAAUCCUGUGCUUUCUGCAGCAAAAAUUACAGCAAAAGACAGUUCCGUAAAAUGGAGAAGAAAAAACAAAUCCCUGCAGCAGAAUUGACAAAGUUUACCAGAAAGCAACAAUUACCACAAAAUAUUGAUGCGUCGCAGUAUCAAUUGACCAGAUUCGCCAAUUCAUACGAAUCCGCUUCCGUACGGCAAAUAUACAAUGACUUACAUCGAUUUUGAAGAUUGGUCUCAAUAUGCACACCGGAGCAGCAGUAUUCGUAGUGUGCCGCUGAUGAACCUGAAUUCGACUGCGUCACUCGGCUUCUUCCGAAUGCUGAUAAACCUACAAUAUGAUAUUAAACAUCAAGACGGAGGUAUCAUCUCUAAACGAAUUCUUCCACUGGAUGGAAGGAAAACGCUGCGAAGACGAAUGGUCAUCGAGACACUAAAAAGGUAUCAGUUGGACCGGUUUUCUGCAAUGGUCAAAUCGUUUGCCAACGGCUUCCAGCUGGCCGAAGGAAAAGUGAUCCACGACUUUCAAAUAUUUCUCGGUCCGAUGGCUGAUCCAGUUGUUGCUGGACUAGAGAGCAACGCGGUCUAUUUGACCCGAUUGGUGCAACGACCAGUGACACAAUAUCCGCAACCCCAGAAUAUUGCUGCUGAGAUCAAUUUGGCCUGACAAGGAUGAGCGAUCAGCAUACUACAUAAUAACGUCUCGUUUGUUCUCGGGAAGUGUAUCAUUAUUUAAA